GAUGAACGCUAGCUACAGGCUUAACACAUGCAAGUCGAGGGGUCUGCUUCGGCAGACGACCGGCGCACGGGUGAGUAACGCGUAUCCAACCUGCCCUUCUCAUUGGGAUAGCCUUUCGAAAGAGAGAUUAAUACCGAAUAACAUAGUUUGAUUGCCUGAUUAUACUAUGAAAGCUCCGGCGGAGAAGGAUGGGGAUGCGUUCCAUUAGGUAGUAGGCGGGGUAACGGCCCACCUAGCCUACGAUGGAUAGGGGUUCUGAGAGGAAGGUCCCCCACACUGGAACUGAGACACGGUCCAGACUCCUACGGGAGGCAGCAGUGAGGAAUAUUGGUCAAUGGACGCAAGUCUGAACCAGCCAAGUAGCGUGAAGGAUGACUGCCCUAUGGGUUGUAAACUUCUUUUGCCGUAGAACAAAACAUGCCACGUGUGGCAUUUUGCGUGUAUACGUUGAAUAAGCAUCGGCUAACUCCGUG
This 473-nucleotide ribosomal RNA is filed under the name uncultured bacterium. RNAcentral's name for it is "bacterial SSU rRNA". It matches the Rfam family "Bacterial small subunit ribosomal RNA", at positions 28 to 507 of the family's 1533-position model. The record is from RNAcentral.